Molecule: long non-coding RNA, 588 nt
Filed under: Aquila chrysaetos chrysaetos
Lineage: Eukaryota; Metazoa; Chordata; Aves; Accipitriformes; Accipitridae
Description: lncRNA (ENSACCG00020005862.1)
Source: RNAcentral
GGGCUGCUGUGAUAGCUGCAAGCACUGAAGCCAGGAGGACUCAGAAACGGUCCCUUCUUUGCUAUUUACCAAGACGCAUCUGAGUUAUGCAAAUUUCAUGAUCAAACAAAUGUACGCUGCACACUGUUUCCUUACACGGAAGCGUGUCUGCAGGAAGCAGAUUUGGCUACAGCAGCCGCACUCACCGACGGGCGCUUCUGCCAGUUAAUUUGGGCAGGUCGUCUUCACAUGCAGCUAUCAUGGGCCUUUGGAUAAUUUCUUCACAUCUGAUCUGACCAAGAACUUGUGUUUUACUUAAUUCAGCUGUGAUUCAAAGCUGGGUAAUUUGGGAUUCUGCUGCUUUCAGACCAAAACACUGAAGAUUCAGCCAUGGGAGACCCAGAACCAAGUGGUCUGGACAAUCAAGAGAGGACACCUGAAAAUAGGAAGCGGUACAGUGAGAUAUUCCGGAGCCUGGAUGCCAUAGAAAUCUCAAUUGGAAAUGCGACAGUUGAUAUGUUCGUUGGUGAUGCUGACAGCACUGAUGACACAGACCUGACCACAGAAAAAGAGGUUGUUCCGGUAGGCAAAGAAUGAAAUCCAUUUUAU